AUUUAACGUGGGUGGGAAGGAAAAGCCUCCCACAAGGCAUUGUAUUUGUCCCCCCCCUGAAGGGUUAUUCGCCCACUUGGGGAUUGAACCCCGCCCCAGAUUCCUAGGGGAGGCAGCAGUGAGGAUUUCUCCCCAAGGGGCCCCAAGUUUUGAUGGAACAACCCCCCUUGAAUGAAGAAGGGUUUCGGCUCGUAAAGCUCUGUUGUUAAAGAAGAACGUGGGUAAGAGUAACUGUUUACCCAGUGACGGUAUUUAACCAGAAAGCCACGGCUAACUACGUGCCAGCAGCCGCGGUAAUACGUAGGUGGCAAGCGUUAUCCGGAUUUAUUGGGCGUAAAGCGAGCGCAGGCGGUCUUUUAAGUCUAAUGUGAAAGCCUUCGGCUCAACCGAAGAAGUGCAUUGGAAACUGGGAGACUUGAGUGCAGAAGAGGACAGUGGAACUCCAUGUGUAGCGGUGAAAUGCGUAGAUAUAUGGAAGAACACCAGUGGCGAAGGCGGCUGUCUGGUCUGCAACUGACGCUGAGGCUCGAAAGCAUGGGUAGCGAACAGGAUUAGAUACCCUGGUAGUCCAUGCCGUAAACGAUGAUUACUAAGUGUUGGAGGGUUUCCGCCCUUCAGUGCUGCAGCUAACGCAUUAAGUAAUCCGCCUGGGGAGUACGACCGCAAGGUUGAAACUCAAAAGAAUUGACGGGGGCCCGCACAAGCGGUGGAGCAUGUGGUUUAAUUCGAAGCUACGCGAAGAACCUUACCAGGUCUUGACAUCUUCUGACAGUCUAAGAGAUUAGAGGUUCCCUUCGGGGACAGAAUGACAGGUGGUGCAUGGUUGUCGUCAGCUCGUGUCGUGAGAUGUUGGGUUAAGUCCCGCAACGAGCGCAACCCUUAUUACUAGUUGCCAGCAUUAAGUUGGGCACUCUAGUGAGACUGCCGGUGACAAACCGGAGGAAGGUGGGGACGACGUCAAAUCAUCAUGCCCCUUAUGACCUGGGCUACACACGUGCUACAAUGGAUGGUACAACGAGUCGCGAGACCGCGAGGUUAAGCUAAUCUCUUAAAACCAUUCUCAGUUCGGACUGUAGGCUGCAACUCGCCUACACGAAGUCGGAAUCGCUAGUAAUCGCGGAUCAGCAUGCCGCGGUGAAUACGUUCCCGGGCCUUGUACACACCGCCCGUCACACCAUGAGAGUUUGUAACACCCAAAGCCGGUGGGGUAACCUUUUAGGAGCUAGCCGUCUAAGGUGACAGAGAUUGGU
RNAcentral lists this ribosomal RNA (1250 nucleotides) under Pediococcus pentosaceus. RNAcentral describes it as "bacterial SSU rRNA". It matches the Rfam family "Bacterial small subunit ribosomal RNA", at positions 238 to 1476 of the family's 1533-position model. The record is from RNAcentral. Lineage: Bacteria; Bacillati; Bacillota; Bacilli; Lactobacillales; Lactobacillaceae.